Molecule: transfer RNA, 93 nt
Filed under: Phycisphaerae bacterium
Lineage: Bacteria; Pseudomonadati; Planctomycetota; Phycisphaerae
Description: tRNA-Thr
Source: RNAcentral
GAUCCAGGUGGUGGAGCGGACCAACUCGCUGCUGGUGACGGCGGAGCCGGCGCAGCACCAGAUGGUGCAGGAGUUCGUGUCGCGGCUGGACAA